GUGGGGAAUCUUGCGCAAUGGGCGAAAGCCUGACGCAGCCAUGCCGCGUGAAUGAUGAAGGUCUUAGGAUUGUAAAAUUCUUUCACCGGGGACGAUAAUGACGGUACCCGGAGAAGAAGCUCCGGCUAACUUCGUGCCAGCAGCCGCGGUAAUACGAAGGGGGCUAGCGUUGCUCGGAAUUACUGGGCGUAAAGGGCGCGUAGGCGGACAGCUUAGUCAGAGGUGAAAGCCCAGGGCUCAACCUUGGAAUUGCCUUUGAUACUGGCUGUCUUGAGUUUGGGAGAGGUGAGUGGAACUCCGAGUGUAGAGGUGAAAUUCGUAGAUAUUCGGAAGAACACCAGUGGCGAAGGCGGCUCACUGGCUCGAUACUGACGCUGAGGUGCGAAAGCGUGGGGAGCAAACAGGAUUAGAUACCCGUGUAGUCC
Molecule: ribosomal RNA, 425 nt
Filed under: uncultured bacterium
Lineage: Bacteria
Description: bacterial SSU rRNA
Rfam family: Bacterial small subunit ribosomal RNA
Source: RNAcentral